CCUACGGGAGGCAGCAGUAGGGAAUCUUCCACAAUGGGCGAAAGCCUGAUGCAGCAACGCCGCGUGGGUGAAGAAGGUCUUCGGAUCGUAAAACCCUGUUGUUAGAGAAGAAAGUGCGUGAGAGUAACUGUUCACGUUUCGACGGUAUCUAACCAGAAAGCCACGGCUAACUACGUGCCAGCAGCCGCGUUAAUACGUAGGGGGCAAGCGUUAUCCGGAUUUAUUGGGCGUAAAGGGAUCGCAGGCGGUCUUGUAAGUCUGAUGUGAAAGCCUGAGGCUUAACCGGAGUAGUGCAUUGGAAACGGGGGGACUUGAGUGCAGAAGAGGAGAGUGGAACUCGAGGUGUAGCGGUGAAAUGCGUAGAUAGAUGGAAGAACACCAGUGGCGAAAGCGGCUCUCUGGUCUGUAACUGACGCUGAGGUACGAAAGCGUGGGUAGCAAACAGGAUUAGAUACCCGAGUAGUC
Molecule: ribosomal RNA, 465 nt
Filed under: uncultured bacterium
Lineage: Bacteria
Description: partial 16S ribosomal RNA
Rfam family: Bacterial small subunit ribosomal RNA
Source: RNAcentral